ACCCUAAACCUAUCGCCCGUAUGUACGAUCGACGACUCCUGCCCUCGAGCGAGGUCUCCCUUCGCCGCCGCCGCUCCACCCAGAGCUGCCCUCUUCCCCGCUGGCGCCGCCCCCUUCCCUCCCACCCCGAGCCGCCGUCUUCCCCGCCCGCGCCGCUCUCUUCCCCGCCGGCGCUGCCCUCCACUCACCUUCUGUUCUUCAAGCGGGGACGCCCUAGAUCGAGUCGAGCAAGUCAGCGGGGCAGCGGCCAGAUCCGCCACGGCCACAUCUCGUCGAGACAGGCUCCACCGGGAGAGGUAGAUCGAGGCGGCGGGCACCGUGUGCGUCUUGUCUCUUGGGACGCCGCUCCGACCUGAUCCGGCCAGGAGGCAGCCUCCGUGUGCGGCAAUGAGGGCGGCGGCCGGCUGCCCGAAAGGUCGAUCUGAUUAUGCCUCGUCACACCCCUUCCCUGGGCUGCACUUUCUUUGCCUGUUAAGCAAUUGAUAUACAUAGUGGAGCAAGAAUUAACACCAUGGAAGGGGAGAAAUACAGUACAGGCACUACGUAUUUUAAAUUUUGCAUGUGGGCUCAGGCGUGGCAGCGUCAGCGGCCUCCGACGCUCCUCGGCUCAACCGCCGCCGACCUACCAUGCCCACGAUCCUCGCGAGCAGUGUCACUCCUUCCCCUCACCGUGGUGCAAUGGAUUGAUUGAUUUAUGAAUCAAUCACAGCUGCUAGAAGAAGAAAGAAUCAGGCGUGCAUCAUGGAUGAUGGAUCUUAGAGUGCGGGGUGAGAACAAAGGUGAUUUAUCGGAGUGAUAUAAGCAAACUCAGGCACGUUCCCUUUCCUCACAUUUUGAAGAUCCAAUUAGAAUGGAUCUAUUAUUAGUAGCAUCGUCAUCUUCAAAUCCAAUGUUUUUUGACACCACUCCUGUGUUUGUCUCUUCCAAACUAAUCUGGUUUUAACAGUAGAUCAUUACUAUUUUCACCGUGUGUGGCUGAGG
Triticum urartu is the source of this 981-nucleotide non-coding RNA. NCBI's taxonomy places the organism in Eukaryota, Viridiplantae, Streptophyta, Magnoliopsida, Poales, Poaceae. The record is from RefSeq and is a predicted model, not a curated record.